UACGUAGGGUGCAAGCGUUAAUCGGAAUUACUGGGCGUAAAGCGCACGCAGGUGGCUGAGUAAGUCGGGUGUGAAAGCCCCGGGCUCAACCUGGGAAUUGCAUUCGAGACUGCGUGGCUAGGGUGCGGAAGAGGGAAGCGGAAUUUCCGGUGUAGCGGUGAAAUGCGUGAGAUAUCGGAAGGAACACCAGUGGCGGAAAGCGGCUUCCUGGUCCAGCACCGACGUCAGGCACGAAAGCGUGGGGAGCAAACAGG
Molecule: ribosomal RNA, 254 nt
Filed under: uncultured bacterium
Lineage: Bacteria
Description: partial 16S ribosomal RNA
Rfam family: Bacterial small subunit ribosomal RNA
Source: RNAcentral